GUAAUACAUCGGAACGUACCCAGUAGCGGGGGAUAGCCCGGCGAAAGCCGGAUUAAUACCGCAUACGCCCUACGGGGGAAAGGGGGGGAUCGCAAGACCUCUCACUAUUGGAGCGGCCGAUGGCUGAUUAGCUAGUUGGUGGGGUAAAGGCCUACCAAGGCAACGAUCAGUAGCUGGUCUGAGAGGACGACCAGCCACACUGGGACUGAGACACGGCCCAGACUCCUACGGGAGGCAGCAGUGGGGAAUUUUGGACAAUGGGCGAAAGCCUGAUCCAGCAAUGCCGCGUGUGCGAAGAAGGCCUUCGGGUUGUAAAGCACUCUUGUCAGGGAAGAAAUCGUUCGGGCUAAUACCUCGGGCAGUUGACGGUACCUGAAGAAUAAGCACCGGCUAACUACGUGCCAGCAGCCGCGGUAAUACGUAGGGUGCAAGCGUUAAUCGGAAUUACUGGGCGUAAAGCGUGCGCAGGUGGUUCGUUAAGACAGUUGUGAAAUCCCCGGGCUUAACCUGGGAACUGCAAUUGUGACUGGCGGACUAGAGUUUGGCAGAGGGGGGUGGAAUUCCUGGUGUAGCAGUGAAAUGCGUAGAUAUCAGGAGGAACACCGAUGGCGAAGGCAGCCCCCCUGGGCCAUGACUGACACUCAUGCA
Molecule: ribosomal RNA, 648 nt
Filed under: uncultured bacterium
Lineage: Bacteria
Description: bacterial SSU rRNA
Rfam family: Bacterial small subunit ribosomal RNA
Source: RNAcentral